Molecule: ribosomal RNA, 484 nt
Filed under: uncultured bacterium
Lineage: Bacteria
Description: partial 16S ribosomal RNA
Rfam family: Bacterial small subunit ribosomal RNA
Source: RNAcentral
AUUGAACGCUGGCGGCAGGCCUAACACAUGCAAGUCGAGCGGAUGAAGGGAGCUUGCUCCUGGAUUCAGCGGCGGACGGGUGAGUAAUGCCUAGGAAUCUGCCAGGUAGUGGGGGAUAACGUCCGGAAACGGGCGCUAAUACCGCAUACGUCCUGAGGGAGAAAGUGGGGGAUCUUCGGACCUCACGCUAUCAGAUGGGCCUAGGUCGGAUUAGCUAGUUGGUGGGGUAAAGGCCUACCAAGGCGACGAUCCGUAACUGGUCUGAGAGGAUGAUCAGUCACACUGGAACUGAGACACGGUCCAGACUCCUACGGGAGGCAGCAGUGGGGAAUAUUGGACAAUGGGCGAAAGCCUGAUCCAGCCAUGCCGCGUGUGUGAAGAAGGUCUUCGGAUUGUAAAGCACUUUAAGUUGGGAGGAAGGGCAGUAAGUUAAUACCUUGCUGUUUUGACGUUACCAACAGAAUAAGCACCGGCUAACUUCGUG